Molecule: ribosomal RNA, 301 nt
Filed under: Rhabdodiscus sp. Gueidan 3039G
Lineage: Eukaryota; Fungi; Ascomycota; Lecanoromycetes; Ostropales; Graphidaceae
Description: SSU rRNA
Rfam family: Bacterial small subunit ribosomal RNA
Source: RNAcentral
AACGAUGUUUUGUGUAUAAAUGAAAGUGUAAGCACUCCACCUCAAGAGUAACAUGGCAACAUGGGAACUGAAAUCAUUAGACCGUUUCUGAAACUCGUAGUGAAGUAUGUUGUUUAAUUUGAUAACCCACAAGGGACCUUACCACAAUUUGUAUAACUAUAGUAUUAUAUAAUAUAGUUACAAGCGUUGCACGGCUGUCUUCAGUCAAUGUUGUGAAACUGUGGUUAGAUCCAUUAAAUUGACGUAAACCAUUACUUUAUUUAUUAUAAAGUAGUUCGCCGCUAUAUUGGUAGUGAUAUAA